This 66-nucleotide transfer RNA is filed under the name Schizochytrium aggregatum. It matches the Rfam family "tRNA". Rfam says of the family: Transfer RNA (tRNA) molecules are approximately 80 nucleotides in length. Their secondary structure includes four short double-helical elements and three loops (D, anti-codon, and T loops). Lineage: Eukaryota; Bigyra; Thraustochytrida; Thraustochytriidae. The record is from RNAcentral.
GCUGUAGCUCAGCGGUAGAGUAUUGGGCCCAUAACCCAAGAGUCACCGGAUCGAAACCGGUCAGCG